GACAAAGGGGGCUAGCGUUGUUCGGAAUUACUGGGCGUAAAGCGCGUGUAGGCGGUUGCCCAAGUCGGGUGUGAAAGCCUUGAGCUCAACUCAAGAAAUGCACUCGGUACUGGGUGACUAGAGGACCGGAGAGGAUAGUGGAAUUCCCAGUGUAGUGGUGAAAUACGUAGAGAUUGGGAAGAACACCAGUGGCGAAGGCGGCUAUCUGGACGGUUUCUGACGCUAAGACGCGAAAGCGUGGGGAGCAAACAGG
RNAcentral lists this ribosomal RNA (253 nucleotides) under uncultured bacterium. Its description in RNAcentral is "partial 16S ribosomal RNA". It matches the Rfam family "Bacterial small subunit ribosomal RNA", at positions 524 to 776 of the family's 1533-position model. The record is from RNAcentral.